GCGGCGCUGUCCGACGGGUUAUACAUGGUGGAAUUGUAAGUUGUUUCAGAUCUGAAGGGCUCCCAAGUAAUCUGCGUUGA
Long non-coding RNA from Cucurbita maxima (winter squash), 80 nucleotides. RefSeq lists it as uncharacterized. Lineage: Eukaryota; Viridiplantae; Streptophyta; Magnoliopsida; Cucurbitales; Cucurbitaceae. The record is from RefSeq and is a predicted model, not a curated record. The transcript has 3 exons.